RNAcentral lists this ribosomal RNA (581 nucleotides) under fungal endophyte. Its description in RNAcentral is "eukaryotic LSU rRNA". The stretch from base 211 to 364 matches the Rfam family "5.8S ribosomal RNA". The record is from RNAcentral. Lineage: Eukaryota; Fungi.
CGUAGGUGAACCUGCGGAAGGAUCAUUACCGAGUGUAGGGUUCCUAGCGAGCCCAACCUCCCACCCGUGUUUACUGUACCUUAGUUGCUUCGGCGGGCCCGCCAUUCAUGGCCGCCGGGGGCUCUCAGCCCCGGGCCCGCGCCCGCCGGAGACACCACGAACUCUGUCUGAUCUAGUGAAGUCUGAGUUGAUUGUAUCGCAAUCAGUUAAAACUUUCAACAAUGGAUCUCUUGGUUCCGGCAUCGAUGAAGAACGCAGCGAAAUGCGAUAACUAGUGUGAAUUGCAGAAUUCCGUGAAUCAUCGAGUCUUUGAACGCACAUUGCGCCCCCUGGUAUUCCGGGGGGCAUGCCUGUCCGAGCGUCAUUGCUGCCCAUCAAGCACGGCUUGUGUGUUGGGUCGUCGUCCCCUCUCCGGGGGGGACGGGCCCCAAAGGCAGCGGCGGCACCGCGUCCGAUCCUCGAGCGUAUGGGGCUUUGUCACCCGCUCUGUAGGCCCGGCCGGCGCUUGCCGAACGCAAAUCAAUCUUUUUCCAGGUUGACCUCGGAUCAGGUAGGGAUACCCGCUGAACUUAAGCAUAUCA